This 2316-nucleotide ribosomal RNA is filed under the name Triticum aestivum (bread wheat). RNAcentral's name for it is "partial small subunit ribosomal RNA". Lineage: Eukaryota; Viridiplantae; Streptophyta; Magnoliopsida; Poales; Poaceae. The record is from RNAcentral.
AUGGCCUCCGCCUCGCCGCCGCCCUCCGUCGCCGUCGCCGUCCGGCCCGGCGGCAGCGCGAGCCGCCGCGCCGCGCGGUGGGCUGCGGCCAGCCUCCUGGGCGACGGCGGCGCAGGCCACGCCGUCGCCAUCACCUUCGUCUACGUCAUCCCCACGCUCACAUUCGUCCCCUCCCCGGCCGGGGAGCGGGUGCCGGUGGCGCGGGCGCGGCACGAGGUGGUGGAGGCGUACUCCCGAGACCGGCACGCGCGCGUGCAGGAGGCGCUGCUCCCCUUCCGCCGCCUCGCCAAAGCGAAUGCGGAGACGGUGGUGGUGGAAGGCGACGGCGUGGCGGAGACGCUGGUGCGGUACGCGGCGGAGUCCGGCGUACGGAGCCUGGUGCUAGGCUCGGGCUCCUUCCGGUGGUUCCACAGGGUGAUGAGUAGUCCUGAUGUACCUACCGCUGUCCUGAAAACUACGCAAAAUUCGUGCAAUGUGUUUGUUGUGUGCAAGCGAAGAUUAAUCGUGAAAGUUGCAGGACAUCCUCAAGCAGGCAUGUCUGGCACAAACUUAAGCAUUCAUUCAAUUACUCACAAAGCGUUUUCAGAAACGCAGAUGACCUUGUUGUUUGACAGUUCUACAGAGGCUGAGACGAUCUCAGUAUCAUCAGGCUCACAGGCCCGUUGCUCCUAUAGUGCUAGUUCGGAUGCUAGUGCAGGUUCAGAAAGCAGUGGAUUAGUCCACAUAGUAAGUGGAGAUGCAUUGCAAGCAGGAACAGAUGUAAAUCAAAGCUAUGGUUCUCAUAGCCUUUUGAAGAAAGUUUCUUAUGGUGCCUCGAACUCAAGUGAUGAGCGUCAAUCUAUAGAUGAAGUAGAAAAGCUGAGGAAGGAAUUGAAGGAAACCUUGGUAAUGUAUGAUAAAGCCUGCGAUGAUCUCGUCCAUGCUAAGAAAAAGAUUCAGGUACUUUCGAACGAAUGUUCUGAAGAAGCAAGGAAGGUGGAGAAUGCGUUACGCAAGGAAAAAAUUCUGAAGCAAGUAGCAGCAGAUGAGAAAGCAAAACAUUUGGAAGCCAUUAACGAAGUCGAGCAAGCAAAAAGAUCAAUCACCAGGGAGGCCUACUCUAAGCACAAAGCUGAAAUGGUAGGUUGCAUAAUUUCUCUCGAUAAGGAGAAAAUUGUAGAUGCUAUUCUGUCAACAAGCAAAAAUUGCAGGAGGUACUCGAAACAUGAAAUAGAACUUGCCACUGAUAACUUCUCUGAAGCAAGGAAGAUCGGUGAAGGAGGUUAUGGGAAUGUGUAUAGGUGCACCCUUGAUCACAUUGAAGUAGCAGUCAAGAUCAUUCAGCAGGAUUCCACCGACAAAACUGACGAGUUCUUGAAGGAGGUUGAGAUUCUUAGCCAACUUCACCAUCCCAACUUGGUUUUAUUAAUUGGUUUCUGUCCUGAAAUCGGCUGUCUUGUAUAUGAAUACUUGGAGAAUGGAAGCCUAGAAGAUCAACUUCUUAACAACAAAAAACAUCAGCCACUGCAUUGGUUCCUCCGGUUUCGUAUCAUCUUUCAAGUGUCCUGUGGGCUUGCUUUUUUACAUGGAAGGAAGCCAGAGCCUAUAGUCCACCGUGACCUGAAACCUGCAAACAUCCUGUUGGACAAGAACUAUGUGGGUAAAAUUGGCGAUGCUGGUUUCGCGAAGGUCAUAUCUGAUCUGAUCCCUGAUUGGCAAACCGAAUACACAGAUACCAUUGUUGCUGGCACCAUGUACUACAUGGAUCCUGACUACCAGCAAACCGGGACUGUUCGGCCGAAAUCAGAUCUGUUCGGUCUAGGAGUCAUCAUUCUUCAGAUGCUAACUGGCAAGCACCCAAACGGCCUCAUCGUAAGCGUAGAAAAUGCUAUCAAAAGCAGGUCACUUCCAUAUAUCCUCGACAGAACUCAAACUGACUGGCCAGUCGCCGAGGCGGAAAUGUUGGCAAAGCUCGGUUUGCGGUGCACUGCUCUAAAAUGCAGGGAUAGGCCUGAUCUUGAGUCGGAGGUGCUGCCGGAGCUGGAGGAGAUCCUGCACAGGGUUUCCUCCAUUGUCAACAUGAGAAACCCAAACUCGCGAGCACCAAGCCACUUCAUCUGCCCCAUAACACAGGGGUUGAUGGAUGAUCCGUAUGUCGCUGCUGAUGGACACACCUAUGAGCAUCAUGCCAUCAAAGAUUGGCUCAGGAAACACAGGGUGUCGCCAAUCACAAGGUGCAAGCUUCCGAACUUAUCCAUAAUCCCAAACCAUUCGCUGCACGCGGCGAUACAGCAGUGGAAGAAGUCACAGACAGCUCAGACGCAGCCUUGGAAAUGA